Trichomycterus rosablanca is the source of this 507-nucleotide long non-coding RNA. RefSeq lists it as uncharacterized. The transcript is spliced from 3 exons. NCBI's taxonomy places the organism in Eukaryota, Metazoa, Chordata, Actinopteri, Siluriformes, Trichomycteridae. The record is from RefSeq and is a predicted model, not a curated record.
GUAUUAACCAAAAACAGGUUUCGACGUUUUUUAUUUUUUUGGUGUGAAACAGCAAACUUCUUACACAGGCUACUCAGGGUCGUGGUGAAGUCCAUCUUGGGAUGCAAGGUGAAGAAAUAUGCUGGGCAGGACACCAAUCCAGUACAGUGUGGCCAAUUAGUCUUCCGCUGUUGGGGAUCCUGAUCACAUCAGAGGAGGGUAUAUUCCGACCUUCAUGCUCCAACACUUCUGUACAGGCGCCUCAGGCUACUAACCUGGGUUUUUGCACAGCGUUUGAAGACUCCACCCACCUAUUAGUCCGGUCUUUUCCCACCCAGCACUCGUAGCACUGUUGCCUCACAACAAGAAGGUCCUGGGCCAUUUCUAUGUGUAGUCUGCAUGUUCUCCUCAUGUCCAUGUGGGUGAGAUGAAUUGGAGAUACAAAAUUGCCCUUAGGUGUGAAUGUGAGUGUGUGUGUGUUUGCCCUGUGAUGGACUGGCGACCUGUCUGACAUGUUUCCUGCUUUUU